Drosophila eugracilis is the source of this 92-nucleotide small nucleolar RNA. RefSeq annotates it as small nucleolar RNA SNORD116. Lineage: Eukaryota; Metazoa; Arthropoda; Insecta; Diptera; Drosophilidae. The record is from RefSeq and is a predicted model, not a curated record. The transcript has a single exon.
GGUUUGAUAAUUUUUAAAAGGCAGGUAUUUUUUUGAAAUCUAAAAAAAAUAAUUAAAAUGUUUUUCCCUUAGUUUCUCAUUAUUUGUAGGCC